This 1256-nucleotide ribosomal RNA is filed under the name Sambus kanssuensis. Its description in RNAcentral is "16S ribosomal RNA". The stretch from base 829 to 1189 matches the Rfam family "Archaeal large subunit ribosomal RNA", at positions 2150 to 2716 of the family's 2987-position model. The record is from RNAcentral. Lineage: Eukaryota; Metazoa; Arthropoda; Insecta; Coleoptera; Buprestidae.
GCUUAAAAAAUUAUUUUCAUUUUAUUUUUAAAUUAUUAUUAUUUUUAGUAUUUUAGAAAAACUUUUAUUAAUUAUAUGUUAUAAGUACCGCGAGGGAAUUUAAAUUGAGUUUUUAUAAGAAAAAUUUAUUUUUUGUACCUUGUGUAUCAGGGUUUAUUUAUUAUGAAUUAAUUAUUUAGUAAUCCCGAAUCUAAAAGAGUGAAGAGAUAAUAUAUGUUUUUGUUGAAUAAAAAUUUAUAAUUAUUUUUUGGUAAUGAAAUGUUAUUCGUUUUUAGAGAUAUCUGGUUUUUUGAGAAUAAAAUUUAAUUUUUUAGUUAUUUAUUUUUCUGGUUAGUAUUAACCAAUUAUUUAUUAACUUUUAACUUUUUUAGGGAUAAGCUUAACUAAGUAUUGUUUAUAAACUUUGGAUUUAAUUUUAAAUUAUAGGAUUAAUAGUUUCCUCUUAGAGUGUAUUAUUACUCUUUAAAAUUAAUCUUUAAUUUAUUUGAUUUUAAAUUUUCUAUCAAAAUUAUUUAUUUAAUUUAUUGUUUAUGAAAAAUUGAUAUAAUUAGUAAUUUUUAUUGUAUUUAUAUUUAUAUUUUUUAAUUUUUAAUAAGGAACUCGGCAAACUUGUUUUUCGCCUGUUUAUUAAAAACAUGUCCUUUUGAUUAUAAUUUCAGGUCUGACCUGCCCCAUGAAAAUUUAAAUGGCCGCGAUAACUUGAUCGUGCGAAGGUAGCAUAAUCAUUAGCUUUUUAAUUAGAAGCUUGUAUGAAGGGUUGGACGAGAUAACUACUGUCUCAUUAAGAAAAAUUGAAUUUUAUUUUUAAGUUAAAAAGCUUAAAUAUUUUAAAAAGACGAGAAGACCCUAUAGAGUUUAGAUAUUUAAAAUUAUUGAUUUUUUUAGAAUUAAUUUUUUCAAUUAUUUGAUAAUAUUUUGUUGGGGUGACAGAAAGAUUGGAAUAACUCUUUUUAUUUUUUAUACUUAUUUGUAGACUUAUGACUUGCUUUGCAUUUAAAAGAAAAAUUACCUUAGGGAUAACAGCGUUAUUUGUUUGGAGAGUUCAAAUCGAUAAACAAGAUUGCGACCUCGAUGUUGGAUUAAAGAUAGUUUUUGGUGUAGAAGUUAAAUUACUUAGUCUGUUCGACUAUUAAAUCUUUACAUGAUCUGAGUUUAAACCGGUGUAAGCCAGGUUGGUUUCUAUCUUUUAUAAUAUAAAAUUUUUUAGUACGAAAGGACCAAAUAUUUCUUAGAUUAGGUUUUAAUUGAAUAAUAUU